Molecule: small RNA, 150 nt
Filed under: Pectobacterium carotovorum
Lineage: Bacteria; Pseudomonadati; Pseudomonadota; Gammaproteobacteria; Enterobacterales; Pectobacteriaceae
Description: Salmonella enterica Typhi npcRNA 44
Rfam family: Salmonella enterica Typhi npcRNA 44
Source: RNAcentral
CUUUAACAAUCUGGAACAAGCUGAAAAUUGAAACAUGACAGCUGAACAUGCAUUGGUACCUUCAGGUAUGAAUGGCGUGUCAGUGUGUCAAUGAGUCUCUCAAAUAAUCGCAGCACGACAGUGACUUUGAUUAAUCAAAGACACCUUCGG